AGAGGGUGCAAACGUUGCUCGGAAUUAUUGGGCGUAAAGCGCGUGUAGGCGGCUUGUUAAGUUGGUUGUGAAAACCCAUGGCUCAACCAUGGAAGGGCGUCCGAAACUGGCAAGCUAGAGUCCCGACGAGGAUGGCGGAAUUCCCAGUGUAGAGGUGAAAUUCGUAGAUAUUGGGAGGAACACCGGUGGCGAAGGUGGCCAUCUGGGAGGGCACUGACGCUGAGACGCGAAAGCGUGGGGAGCAAACAGGAUUAGAUACCCUGGUAGUCCACGCUGUAAACGAUGAGCACUAGAUGUUGCGGGUAUUGACCCCUGCAGUGUCGACGCUAACGCAUUAAGUGCUCCGCCUGGGGAGUACGGCCGCAAGGCUA
RNAcentral lists this ribosomal RNA (371 nucleotides) under uncultured bacterium. RNAcentral's name for it is "bacterial SSU rRNA". It matches the Rfam family "Bacterial small subunit ribosomal RNA", at positions 527 to 896 of the family's 1533-position model. The record is from RNAcentral.